UGAAUGAAUGAGGAAAACUGAUGUAGGACUUAUUCCAUUUCAGUUCCUACAGACAGGAGAGGAAGUGCUACAAUGUUGUCUGAGCUGAAUAUGUCCAUCUGCACAGGAGUCUCUGGUCUAGCUGAAGAAGACCUGUGGGCCAGACUAGUAAUCAAAACCUUUUGGUGGAUUGCCCAGUUCACCUCACUCAGCCAAGAUGUACUCCUUUACAUCCAAGGCAUCAGGCCAAGGUCAUUUUCUGGUGUUUUUAGUGGCUGAUAUCAACAGCAUUACUGAGACACCUUGUGGGAGAGAUUGGGGUCCCUGGAGUUCACCAAAAAUUUCAGUAGGCAAAAGCCCAAAGAAGGUGUUUUCCCCAUUUGGGGAAAAGAAGUGAAGAAUCUCAUAGAACCACUUUCUUUUGCUUCUGACCCAAAUCGGAAAGUGCUCCUGCAGCCUG
RNAcentral lists this long non-coding RNA (439 nucleotides) under Anser brachyrhynchus (Pink-footed goose). RNAcentral describes it as "lncRNA (ENSABRG00000000235.1)". Lineage: Eukaryota; Metazoa; Chordata; Aves; Anseriformes; Anatidae. The record is from RNAcentral.